GCCAAGCAUGGUUGCGUGUGCCUGUAGUCUCAGCUACUCAGCAGGCUGAGGCAGGAGAAUGGCUUGGGCCCAGAAGUUCAAAGCAAGCCUGAGCAACAUAGCAAGACCUUAUCUUUU
This 117-nucleotide small RNA is filed under the name Marmota monax (woodchuck). Lineage: Eukaryota; Metazoa; Chordata; Mammalia; Rodentia; Sciuridae. The record is from RNAcentral.